UGGGGAAUUUUGGACAAUGGGCGAAAGCCUGAUCCAGCAAUGCCGCGUGUGUGAAGAAGGCCUUCGGGUUGUAAAGCACUUUUGUCCGGAAAGAAAUCCUUGGCUCUAAUACAGUCGGGGGAUGACGGUACCGGAAGAAUAAGCACCGGCUAACUACGUGCCAGCAGCCGCGGUAAUACGUAGGGUGCAAGCGUUAAUCGGAAUUACUGGGCGUAAAGCGUGCGCAGGCGGUUUGCUAAGACCGACGUGAAAUCCCCGGGCUCAACCUGGGAACUGCAUUGGUGACUGGCAGGCUAGAGUAUGGCAGAGGGGGGUAGAAUUCCACGUGUAGCAGUGAAAUGCGUAGAGAUGUGGAGGAAUACCGAUGGCGAAGGCAGCCCCCUGGGCCAAUACUGACGCUCAUGCACGAAAGCGUGGGGAGCAAACAGGAUUAGAUACCCUGGUAGUCCACGCCCUAAACGAUGUCAACUAGUUGUUGGGGAUUCAUUUCCUUAGUAACGUAGCUAACGCGUGAAGUUGACCGCCUGGGGAGUACGGUCGCAAGAUU
Molecule: ribosomal RNA, 547 nt
Filed under: uncultured bacterium
Lineage: Bacteria
Description: partial 16S ribosomal RNA
Rfam family: Bacterial small subunit ribosomal RNA
Source: RNAcentral